This 231-nucleotide ribosomal RNA is filed under the name uncultured bacterium. RNAcentral's name for it is "partial 16S ribosomal RNA". It matches the Rfam family "Bacterial small subunit ribosomal RNA", at positions 334 to 581 of the family's 1533-position model. The record is from RNAcentral.
UGGUCCUACGGGAGGCAGCAGUGGGGGAUAUUGCACAAUGGGGGGAACCCUGAUGCAGCGACGCCGCGUGGGUGAAGAAGUAUUUCGGUAUGUAAAGCCCUAUCGGCAGGGAAGAAUUUAGACGGUACCUGACUAAGAAGCCCCGGCUAACUACGUGCCAGCCGCCGCGGUAAUACGUAGGGGGGAAGCGUUAUCCGGAUUCACUGGGGGUAAAGGGAGGGGAGACGGCCA